This 879-nucleotide ribosomal RNA is filed under the name uncultured bacterium. RNAcentral describes it as "bacterial SSU rRNA". It matches the Rfam family "Bacterial small subunit ribosomal RNA", at positions 43 to 904 of the family's 1533-position model. The record is from RNAcentral.
CGUGCCUAAUACAUGCAAGUAGAACGCUGAAGAGAGGAGCUUGCUCUUCUUGGAUGAGUUGCGAACGGGUGAGUAACGCGUAGGUAACCUGCCUUGUAGCGGGGGAUAACUAUUGGAAACGAUAGCUAAUACCGCAUAACAAUGGAUGACUCAUGUCAUUUAUUUGAAAGGGGCAAAUGCUCCACUACAAGAUGGACCUGCGUUGUAUUAGCUAGUAGGUGAGGUAACGGCUCACCUAGGCGACGAUACAUAGCCGACCUGAGAGGGUGAUCGGCCACACUGGGACUGAGACACGGCCCAGACUCCUACGGGAGGCAGCAGUAGGGAAUCUUCGGCAAUGGGGGCAACCCUGACCGAGCAACGCCGCGUGAGUGAAGAAGGUUUUCGGAUCGUAAAGCUCUGUUGUAAGUCAAGAACGAGUGUGAGAGUGGAAAGUUCACACUGUGACGGUAGCUUACCAGAAAGGGACGGCUAACUACGUGCCAGCAGCCGCGGUAAUACGUAGGUCCCGAGCGUUGUCCGGAUUUAUUGGGCGUAAAGCGAGCGCAGGCGGUUUGAUAAGUCUGAAGUUAAAGGCUGUGGCUCAACCAUAGUUCGCUUUGGAAACUGUCAAACUUGAGUGCAGAAGGGGAGAGUGGAAUUCCAUGUGUAGCGGUGAAAUGCGUAGAUAUAUGGAGGAACACCGGUGGCGAAAGCGGCUCUCUGGUCUGUAACUGACGCUGAGGCUCGAAAGCGUGGGGAGCGAACAGGAUUAGAUACCCUGGUAGUCCACGCCGUAAACGAUGAGUGCUAGGUGUUGGAUCCUUUCCGGGAUUCAGUGCCGCAGCUAACGCAUUAAGCACUCCGCCUGGGGAGUACGACCGCAAGGUUGAAACUCAA